Molecule: ribosomal RNA, 494 nt
Filed under: uncultured bacterium
Lineage: Bacteria
Description: partial 16S ribosomal RNA
Rfam family: Bacterial small subunit ribosomal RNA
Source: RNAcentral
GACGAACGCUGGCGGCGUGCUUAACACAUGCAAGUCGAACGGUGAAGCGCCUUCCUUUUUGGUGGGUGUGGAUGAGUGGCGAACGGGUGGGUAACACGUGAGUAACCUGCCCCCUUCUUCUGGAUAACCGCAUGAAAGUGUGGCUAAUACGGGAUAUUCUGGGUCUGUCGCAUGAUGGGUCUGGGAAAGAUAUUGUUUCGGUGGGGGAUGGGCUCGCGGCCUAUCAGCUUGUUGGUGGGGUGAUGGCCUACCAAGGCGGUGACGGGUAGCCGGCCUGAGAGGGUGGACGGUCACACUGGGACUGAGCCACGGCCCAGACUCCUACGGGAGGCAGCAGUGGGGAAUAUUGCACAAUGGGCGCAAGCCUGAUGCAGCGACGCCGCGUGAGGGAUGGAGGCCUUCGGGUUGUGAACCUCUUUCGCCAGUGAAGCAGGCCUGCCUCGUUUGUGGGUGGGUUGACGGUAGCUGGAUAAGAAGCGCCGGCUAACUACGUG